GUUAUGAAUCUCCUGGUAGCAAUAUUCCUUUCCUUUGGAGAAUCCUUCCAAAUCUUGUGUGAUCCUGGUGGGAAGGUAUGUCAUAGGAGCCCAACCUCAUCUCUGCCAAGGGUAAGAUGGCACUUUGCAGAUGUCACUGGCUGGACGGCAGCCCAAGCAAGGGGCAGUGACCCCUGGAGGAUCCCUCUGUUCCUAAAGGAGCUCUUCCAUAGGUACAAUGGGACAGGAAUGAAGGAUCCUGCAGGACAUUUGACAUUUUGCUUGACGUUUGGACUUGCACUGUCAGUGGGAUUUUAGUUUGUAAACUCAACUUUAUACACUGUUGGAUUAAGCAGGCAUUUAAAACCACCAUGACCUUUGGGUACUCCCAAGUUUUUUAUGGCUUCUACUCCUGCCAUGCUAUUGAAAUUCUUCCUCCCAAAAUGAGGGACCACCUCCACCUUUUGAAUACACUCUUCUGCCUGCCUGUAUGACCACCCCUCCAACCCCUUAACUCUCCUGGUACCCCUCCUACUUCUUCAGCCACUCCUCAGGCUUCUUUGCUGACUUGUCUUCCUCAACCCCAUCUUUAAAUGUUGAAGUUUUGAUGGUUCAAUCAGGAGGCCUAAUUUCUUCCCUUGAAUAUUCUUUCCCUAGGGCUGUUCAUCUAUACCCAUCAAUACCCAUGGUUUUAAAUACUUCCCAACCAAGACUUCCCCUCUAAGCUCAUAUACAUAAUAUAUUCAAUCUACUUAACAAACUGCCUCUGCCAUUUCCCCAGAUGCACUGAUGUUUGAAGACGCUGAUGGAAAUAAUCACAAAAGCAUCUUAGAGCGUGACGAUCCUUAAGAAUAUAAGACUUUCCUAACAGGCACCUCAAAGUCAAUAUCCCCCAAACGAAACUCUUGAUCCAACCCAAUCCCUACCCCAGAACAUUCCCUCCCCUUGUUUUCUUCCAUCUUAUUGAGUGGUACCAUCUUCCAUCCAGUUGCAAAAUCUAAAAGGCCCUGCCAUGCCGGGUUCCUCCCUCCCUCUUUUC
Long non-coding RNA from Lontra canadensis (Northern American river otter), 1018 nucleotides. RefSeq lists it as uncharacterized. The record is from RefSeq and is a predicted model, not a curated record. Lineage: Eukaryota; Metazoa; Chordata; Mammalia; Carnivora; Mustelidae. The transcript is spliced from 3 exons.